CGAGUGAAGCGGCAACAGCUCAAAUUUGAAAUCUGGCCUCUUUGGGGUCCGAGUUGUAAUUUGUAGAGGAUGUUUCGGGUACCGCCUCGGUUUAAAUUUCUUGGAACAGAAUGUCAAAGAGGGUGAGAAUCCCGUCUUGGACCGGCGGUAGGGCCCAUGUGAAACUCCUUCGACGAGUCGAGUUGUUUGGGAAUGCAGCUCAAAAUGGGUGGUAAAUUUCAUCUAAAGCUAAAUAUUGGCCAGAGACCGAUAGCGCACAAGUAGAGUGAUCGAAAGAUGAAAAGCACUUUGAAAAGAGAGUUAAACAGUAUGUGAAAUUGUUGAAAGGGAAGCGCUUACAACCAGACUUGAGCGCGGCGGUUCCCCCUUCCUUUUGGUUGGGUUACUCCGUCGUGUCCAGGCCAACAUCGGUUUCGGGGGUCGGUUAAAGACCUUGGGAAUGUAUCUACCCUUCGGGCGUAGACUUAUAGCCCAGGGUGUCAUGCGGCCUCCCGGGACCGAGGAACGCGCUUCGGCUCGGAUGUUGGCGUAAUGGUUGUCAGCGACCCGUCUUGAAACACGGACCAAGGAGUCUAACAUCUAUGCGAGUGUUUGGGUGUCAAACCCGGAACGCGAAAUGAAAGUGAACGGAGGUAGGAAGCCUUGAGGCUGCACUAUCGACCGAUCCUGAUGUCUUCGGAUGGAUUUGAGUAAGAGCAUAGCUGUUGGGACCCGAAAGAUGGUGAACUAUGCCUGAAUAGGGUGAAGCCAGAGGAAACUCUGGUGGAGGCUCGCAGCGGUUCUGACGUGCAAAUCGAUCGUCAAAUUUGGGUAUAGGGCGAAAGACU
Molecule: ribosomal RNA, 827 nt
Filed under: Veronaea sp.
Lineage: Eukaryota; Fungi; Ascomycota; Eurotiomycetes; Chaetothyriales; Herpotrichiellaceae
Description: partial large subunit ribosomal RNA
Rfam family: Eukaryotic large subunit ribosomal RNA
Source: RNAcentral